CCCGCUCAGAAACUUAAAGGAAUUGACGGGGGCCCGCACAAGCGGUGGAGCAUGUGGUUUAAUUCGAUGAUACGCGAGGAACCUUACCUGGGCUCAAAUGUAUGUUGACGUAUUCUGAAAGGGAUACUUCUUCGGACAAUAUACAAGGUGGUGCAUGGUUGUCGUCAGCUCGUGUCGUGAGAUGUUGGGUUAAGUCCCGCAACGAGCGCAACCCUUGUGUUUAGUUGCAAACAGGUCAAGCUGUGCACUCUAGACAGACUGCCGUGGACAACACGGAGGAAGGUGGGGAUGACGUCAAAUCAUCAUGCCCCUUAUGAUCUGGGCUACACACGUGCUACAAUGGCCGGUACAACGGGCAGCGAAGGAGCGAUCCGGAGCGAAUCCUAAAAAGCCGGUCCCAGUUCGGAUUGCAGGCUGAAACUCGCCUACAUGAAGUUGGAGUUGCUAGUAAUCGCGAAUCAGAAUGUCGCGGUGAAUGCGUUCCCGGGUCUU
RNAcentral lists this ribosomal RNA (492 nucleotides) under uncultured Fusibacter sp. RNAcentral's name for it is "bacterial SSU rRNA". It matches the Rfam family "Bacterial small subunit ribosomal RNA", at positions 888 to 1382 of the family's 1533-position model. The record is from RNAcentral. Lineage: Bacteria; Bacillati; Bacillota; Clostridia; Eubacteriales; Fusibacteraceae.